CCCAGAGCGUCAGUACAGCCGCCAGAGCCGCAGCCCCUCCCCCCGCCACGGUCGGGAGUACAGCUCCUCACGAAGGCAUUCCCGGUCCCAUUCCCGGAGCCCCCACUACCGGCACUGACGGACGGGACCCCCCCAAUAAAAUCCAUGG
This is a non-coding RNA of Cyanistes caeruleus (blue tit), 148 nucleotides long. The record is from RefSeq and is a predicted model, not a curated record. NCBI's taxonomy places the organism in Eukaryota, Metazoa, Chordata, Aves, Passeriformes, Paridae.